RNAcentral lists this ribosomal RNA (1707 nucleotides) under Salmonella enterica subsp. enterica serovar Braenderup. Its description in RNAcentral is "bacterial LSU rRNA". It matches the Rfam family "Bacterial large subunit ribosomal RNA", at positions 1252 to 2925 of the family's 2925-position model. The record is from RNAcentral. Lineage: Bacteria; Pseudomonadati; Pseudomonadota; Gammaproteobacteria; Enterobacterales; Enterobacteriaceae.
GAAGGUGGCCUGUGAGGGUUGCUGGAGGUAUCAGAAGUGCGAAUGCUGACAUAAGUAACGAUAAAGCGGGUGAAAAGCCCGCUCGCCGGAAGACCAAGGGUUCCUGUCCAACGUUAAUCGGGGCAGGGUGAGUCGACCCCUAAGGCGAGGCCGAAAGGCGUAGUCGAUGGGAAACGGGUUAAUAUUCCCGUACUUGGUGUUACUGCGAAGGGGGGACGGAGAAGGCUAUGUUGGCCGGGCGACGGUUGUCCCGGUUUAAGCGUGUAGGUGUGUGUUCCAGGUAAAUCCGGUUCACUUUAACACUGAGGCGUGACGACGAGGCACUACGGUGCUGAAGCAACAAAUGCCCUGCUUCCAGGAAAAGCCUCUAAGCAUCAGGUAACAUCAAAUCGUACCCCAAACCGACACAGGUGGUCAGGUAGAGAAUACCAAGGCGCUUGAGAGAACUCGGGUGAAGGAACUAGGCAAAAUGGUGCCGUAACUUCGGGAGAAGGCACGCUGACACGUAGGUGAAGUGAUUUACUCAUGGAGCUGAAGUCAGUCGAAGAUACCAGCUGGCUGCAACUGUUUAUUAAAAACACAGCACUGUGCAAACACGAAAGUGGACGUAUACGGUGUGACGCCUGCCCGGUGCCGGAAGGUUAAUUGAUGGGGUCAGCGCAAGCGAAGCUCCUGAUCGAAGCCCCGGUAAACGGCGGCCGUAACUAUAACGGUCCUAAGGUAGCGAAAUUCCUUGUCGGGUAAGUUCCGACCUGCACGAAUGGCGUAAUGAUGGCCAGGCUGUCUCCACCCGAGACUCAGUGAAAUUGAACUCGCUGUGAAGAUGCAGUGUACCCGCGGCAAGACGGAAAGACCCCGUGAACCUUUACUAUAGCUUGACACUGAACAUUGAGCCUUGAUGUGUAGGAUAGGUGGGAGGCUUUGAAGUGUGGACGCCAGUCUGCAUGGAGCCGACCUUGAAAUACCACCCUUUAAUGUUUGAUGUUCUAACGUGGACCCGUGAUCCGGGUUGCGGACAGUGUCUGGUGGGUAGUUUGACUGGGGCGGUCUCCUCCUAAAGAGUAACGGAGGAGCACGAAGGUUGGCUAAUCCUGGUCGGACAUCAGGAGGUUAGUGCAAUGGCAUAAGCCAGCUUGACUGCGAGCGUGACGGCGCGAGCAGGUGCGAAAGCAGGUCAUAGUGAUCCGGUGGUUCUGAAUGGAAGGGCCAUCGCUCAACGGAUAAAAGGUACUCCGGGGAUAACAGGCUGAUACCGCCCAAGAGUUCAUAUCGACGGCGGUGUUUGGCACCUCGAUGUCGGCUCAUCACAUCCUGGGGCUGAAGUAGGUCCCAAGGGUAUGGCUGUUCGCCAUUUAAAGUGGUACGCGAGCUGGGUUUAGAACGUCGUGAGACAGUUCGGUCCCUAUCUGCCGUGGGCGCUGGAGAACUGAGGGGGGCUGCUCCUAGUACGAGAGGACCGGAGUGGACGCAUCACUGGUGUUCGGGUUGUCAUGCCAAUGGCACUGCCCGGUAGCUAAAUGCGGAAGAGAUAAGUGCUGAAAGCAUCUAAGCACGAAACUUGCCCCGAGAUGAGUUCUCCCUGAGACUUAAAGUCUCCUGAAGGAACGUUGAAGACGACGACGUUGAUAGGCCGGGUGUGUAAGCGCAGCGAUGCGUUGAGCUAACCGGUACUAAUGAACCGUGAGGCUUAACCUUACAACGCCGAAG